This 581-nucleotide ribosomal RNA is filed under the name uncultured Alphaproteobacteria bacterium. RNAcentral's name for it is "bacterial SSU rRNA". It matches the Rfam family "Bacterial small subunit ribosomal RNA", at positions 86 to 700 of the family's 1533-position model. The record is from RNAcentral. Lineage: Bacteria; Pseudomonadati; Pseudomonadota; Alphaproteobacteria.
CGGGUGUCAGUGGCGGACGGGUGAGUAACGCGUAGGUAUCUGUCCUUGGGUGGGGGAUAACCGUGGGAAACUACGGCUAAUACCGCAUGACACCUGUGGGUCAAAGGCGAGAGUCGCCUGGGGAGGAGCCUGCGUACGAUUAGCUUGUUGGUGGGGUAAAGGCCUACCAAGGCGACGAUCGUUAGCUGGUCUGAGAGGAUGAUCAGCCACACUGGGACUGAGACACGGCCCAGACUCCUACGGGAGGCAGCAGUGGGGAAUAUUGGACAAUGGGCGCAAGCCUGAUCCAGCAAUGCCGCGUGGAUGAAGAAGGUUUUCGGAUUGUAAAGUCCUUUCGGCGGGGACGAUGAUGACGGUACCCGCAGAAGAAGCCCCGGCUAACUUCGUGCCAGCAGCCGCGGUAAUACGAAGGGGGCUAGCGUUGCUCGGAAUGACUGGGCGUAAAGGGCGCGUAGGCGGUAUGGACAGUCAGGUGUGAAAUUCCCGGGCUUAACCUGGGGACUGCAUUUGAUACGUUCAAACUAGAGUGUGGAAGAGGGUCGUGGAAUUCCCAGUGUAGAGGUGAAAUUCGUAGAUAUUGG